Molecule: long non-coding RNA, 1704 nt
Organism: Xiphias gladius (swordfish)
Lineage: Eukaryota; Metazoa; Chordata; Actinopteri; Istiophoriformes; Xiphiidae
Exons: 6
Source: RefSeq, a predicted model, not a curated record
AAAAUAUCUUGGCAAGUUGUCAAACUUUCCUUGUUUGAUAGUGUUGCUUUGCUUCAUUUCAGUUUAUUUUGAAACGGCUCAUUCUCCACAAGUGAAAAUCCACUCUGCAUCUUUUCUGCUGCUGCUGUUUCCCAGCCUGAUGAAAAGAAAAGUUUAUUUUGAAACGGCUCAUUCUCCACAAGUGAAAAUCCACUCUGCAUCUUUUCUGCUGCUGCUGUUUCCCAGCCUGAUGAAAAGAAAAGGUGGCAUCAAUACAUUGGCCACUAUGCAGUCAGCAGAGAGACCAGCUGGACUCUAGAACAUGCUGAGAUUCGAAUUGAGAGAAAAGAUACUGCUCUCCCUGAUAUAGCUUAAUUUUGAAGAAUGGUCGUCUCGAUGCGCCAAAGCUGAAGCCAGAAGAUAAUCCUCUGCACCGCAGCUAAUAGUUGUUCCAUCACUUUCAACACCAGCAUGGAAAAGUGUAACUGCUGGCUUCCAAGGUGAAGAGACAGGAGGAGACUUCCUCAGAAGAUAAAUGACAGUCCUGCCUGGGGUGGGAGAGACAAAAGAUACACAUGGCAUUUAGACUGGCGAAAGACCGUUCAGAGUCCAACUGAGAGGCAAUCCUGAGGGCUACGACGACUUGGCCCACCCGCAGGCAUUGUUCACCGUCGCCUAUGAUGGACAACCAUGGCACUGCGGGACAUGUAACAACCACAGGUCAGACAGCCUUGCAUGUCGCCAUUGAAAGAAGGAGCUUUGACCAUGUGAGACUGCUGGUCCAGAAAGGAGCAGAUGUGCGGGCCAAAGCCAAUGGGAAGUUCUUCCAGCGUAAUGCAGGACUGGGCUUUUAUUUUGGAGAACUUCCACUGUCACUGGCUGCCUGCACCAACCAGUCCAAUAUUGUGUCCUUCCUCAUGGAAAACCCUUACAGAAGAGCCGACUUGGCUGACAAAGACUCGCAAGGAAACACUGUCUUGCACACCUUGGUGGUACAGAAAACACAGAUAUGGUUGCAAGGAUGUACGACGAGAUCCUCACUCUUCCUCCACACUACAGCCUUUUCUCGUUCCAGAGGUUUCCUCUCCCACUGUACUUUUUACAGGUAUGAGCUGUGUGUGUGAGUGCCCGUCACAGAGGUGCUUUAGUUCCCCUCCUCCCUCAGGUCUGUGCCGGAUUUCUCUUCCUACCUGCGCAAGUCACUGCCAGCCAGCCCACACCUAUCAGACAGGUUCAGCCAGUGAUUACAGAGCAAACACAUACUAAGUGUUAUGUGAUCACACACAUACACAUACUUGAGGGAAGAGAGCUAUAGAGCAAACACACAUACUGUAUAUCCUUCUCAAUUUACUCACUGGCCUCCGCCCAUCAAACACUCACCUGCGUAUACCCAGACACACUGUGGAAAAGAUGAAACCAGGAAAGGUAUUAUCAGCCAAAAUGCAUGCUGUGACACACCUGGUAAAACGUGUCAUACAGGAAGUGUGUAUUCACAGAUAUGCACCAAGAAACACAAACACACAGUGAACACAACCACGGUGAACUGACAUUACAUCUUCUAAGGCAGCAUAGAAAGCUUAGUAUAAACUGCCUCAUUCUGAUUUCUAUUUUUUAAAACACCUUUCUCUGUCAGCAUCAUGCUUGGGAUCGGACAAAUAAAUUUGACAGGCUUAUCUCAGUAUAGAAAUUAUUUAAAAUUAUUUCAGACUGACAAAAGCAUCUCUG